CCUACGGGAGGCAGCAGUGGGGAAUAUUGGACAAUGGGGGGAACCCUGAUCCAGCCAUGCCGCGUGUGUGAAGAAGGCCCUCGGGUUGUAAAGCACUUUCAGUGAGGAAGAACGCCUGGUGGUUAAUACCCAUCAGGAAAGACAUCACUCACAGAAGAAGCACCGGCUAACUCCGUGCCAGCAGCCGCGGUAAUACGGAGGGUGCGAGCGUUAAUCGGAAUUACUGGGCGUAAAGCGCGCGUAGGUGGCUUGAUAAGCCGGUUGUGAAAGCCCCGGGCUCAACCUGGGAACGGCAUCCGGAACUGUCAAGCUAGAGGGCAGGAGAGGAAGGUAGAAUUCCCGGUGUAGCGGUGAAAUGCGUAGAGAUCGGGAGGAAUACCAGUGGCGAAGGCGGCCUUCUGGACUGACACUGACACUGAGGUGCGAAAGCGUGGGUAGCAAACAGGAUUAGAUACCCCGGUAGUC
RNAcentral lists this ribosomal RNA (465 nucleotides) under Vreelandella stevensii. RNAcentral's name for it is "partial 16S ribosomal RNA". It matches the Rfam family "Bacterial small subunit ribosomal RNA", at positions 338 to 795 of the family's 1533-position model. The record is from RNAcentral. Lineage: Bacteria; Pseudomonadati; Pseudomonadota; Gammaproteobacteria; Oceanospirillales; Halomonadaceae.